This 253-nucleotide ribosomal RNA is filed under the name uncultured bacterium. RNAcentral's name for it is "partial 16S ribosomal RNA". It matches the Rfam family "Bacterial small subunit ribosomal RNA", at positions 524 to 776 of the family's 1533-position model. The record is from RNAcentral.
UACGUAGGGUGCGAGCGUUGUCCGGAAUUAUUGGGCGUAAAGGGCUCGUAGGCGGUUUGUCGCGUCGGGAGUGAAAACUCAGGGCUUAACCCUGAGCCUGCUUCCGAUACGGGCAGACUAGAGGUAUGCAGGGGAGAACGGAAUUCCUGGUGUAGCGGUGAAAUGCGCAGAUAUCAGGAGGAACACCGGUGGCGAAGGCGGUUCUCUGGGCAUUACCUGACGCUGAGGAGCGGAAGUGUGGGGAGCGAACAGG